GACGAACGCUGGCGGCGUGCCUAAUACAUGCAAGUCGAACGCAGUGGGGACGGGUGAGUAACACGUGGGUAACCUCCCCUCAGAGGGGAUAACACUUGGAAACAGGUGCUACACCGAUACUGAUGGAUGGACCCGCGGUGCAUUAGCUAGUUGGUGAGGUAAUGGACAACCAAGGCCACGAUGCGUAGCCGACCGGAGUGGGGGAUAGGCCAAACUGGGACGUAAACGGGACCCAGGCUACUACGGGACCAGCAGUAGGGAAUCGUCAGCAAGGGACGAAAGUCUGAGCGAGAAACGCCGCGUGAGUGAUGAAGUUAUUCGGAUCGUAAGACGCUGUUGUUAGAGAAGCGGUAUCUAACCAGAAAGCGACGGCUAACUACGUGCCAGCAGCCGCGGUAAUAC
RNAcentral lists this ribosomal RNA (402 nucleotides) under uncultured bacterium. Its description in RNAcentral is "partial 16S ribosomal RNA". It matches the Rfam family "Bacterial small subunit ribosomal RNA", at positions 28 to 526 of the family's 1533-position model. The record is from RNAcentral.